RNAcentral lists this ribosomal RNA (254 nucleotides) under uncultured bacterium. RNAcentral describes it as "partial 16S ribosomal RNA". It matches the Rfam family "Bacterial small subunit ribosomal RNA", at positions 524 to 776 of the family's 1533-position model. The record is from RNAcentral.
UACGAAGGGGGCUAGCGUUGCUCGGAAUCACUGGACGUAAAGGGUGCGUAGGCGGGUCUUUAAGUCAGGGGUGAAAUCCUGGAGCUCAACUCCAGAACUGCCUUUGAUACUGAGGAUCUUGAGUUCGGGAGAGGUGAGUGGAACUGCGAGUGUAGAGGUGAAAUUCGUAGAUAUUCGCAAGAACACCAGUGGCGAAGGCGGCUCACUGGCCCGAUACUGACGCUGAGGCACGAAAGCGUGGGGGAGCAAACAGG